GAUGAACGCUGGCGGCGUGCUUAACACAUGCAAGUCGAACGGGAAUUACUUUAUUGAAACUUCGGUCGAUAUGAUUUAAUUCUAGUGGCGGACGGGUGAGUAACGCGUGGGUAACCUGCCUUGUACAGGGGGAUAACAGUCAGAAAUGGCUGCUAAUACCGCAUAAGCGCACAGGACCGCAUGGUCCGGUGUGAAAAACUCCGGUGGUAUAAGAUGGACCCGCGUUGGAUUAGCUUGUUGGCAGGGUAACGGCCUACCAAGGCGACGAUCCAUAGCCGGCCUGAGAGGGUGAACGGCCACAUUGGGACUGAGACACGGCCCAGACUCCUACGGGAGGCAGCAGUGGGGAAUAUUGCACAAUGGGGGAAACCCUGAUGCAGCGACGCCGCGUGAAGGAAGAAGUAUCUCGGUAUGUAAACUUCUAUCAGCAGGGAAGAAAAUGACGG
Molecule: ribosomal RNA, 446 nt
Filed under: uncultured bacterium
Lineage: Bacteria
Description: bacterial SSU rRNA
Rfam family: Bacterial small subunit ribosomal RNA
Source: RNAcentral